Molecule: ribosomal RNA, 468 nt
Filed under: uncultured bacterium
Lineage: Bacteria
Description: partial 16S ribosomal RNA
Rfam family: Bacterial small subunit ribosomal RNA
Source: RNAcentral
GACGAACGCUGGCGGCGUGCUUAACACAUGCAAGUCGAACGGAAAGGCCCUGCUUUUGUGGGGUGCUCGAGUGGCGAACGGGUGAGUAACACGUGAGUAACCUGCCCUUGACUUUGGGAUAACUUCAGGAAACUGGGGCUAAUACCGGAUAGGAGCUCCUGCUGCAUGGUGGGGGUUGGAAAGUUUCGGCGGUUGGGGAUGGACUCUCGGCUUAUCAGCUUGUUGGUGGGGUAGUGGCUUACCAAGGCUUUGACGGGUAGCAGGCCUGAGAGGGUGACCGGCAACAUUGGGACUGAGAUAAGGCCGAGACUCCUACGGGAGGAAGCAGUGGGGAAUAUUGCACAAUGGGCGGAAGACUGAUGCAGCAACGCCGCGUGCGGGAUGAAGGCCUUCGGGUUGUCAUCCGCUUCCGCCUGUGACGAAGCGUGAGUGACGGUAAUGGGUAAAGAAGCACCGGCUAACUCCGUG